GAUGAACGCUGGCGGCGUGCUUAACACAUGCAAGUCGAACGAAGAUGCCGGAGUGCUUGCACUUUGGCAGACUGAGUGGCGGACGGGUGAGUAACGCGUGGGUAACCUGCCUUAUACAGGGGGAUAACAGUUGGAAACGACUGCUAAUACCGCAUAAGCGCACGGUAUCGCAUGAUACAGUGUGAAAAACUCCGGUGGUAUAAGAUGGACCCGCGUCUGAUUAGCUUGUUGGUGAGGUAACGGCCACCAAGGCGACGAUCAGUAGCCGGCCUGAGAGGGUGAACGGCCACAUUGGGACUGAGACACGGCCCAAACUCCUACGGGAGCAGCAGUGGGGAAUAUUGCACAAUGGGGGAAACCCUGAUGCAGCGACGCCGCGUGAGUGAUGAAGUAUUUCGGUAUGUAAAACUCUAUCAGCAGGGAAGAUAAUGACGGUACCUGACUAAGAAGCACCGGCUAAAGUACGUGACC
Molecule: ribosomal RNA, 471 nt
Filed under: uncultured bacterium
Lineage: Bacteria
Description: bacterial SSU rRNA
Rfam family: Bacterial small subunit ribosomal RNA
Source: RNAcentral